Molecule: unclassified non-coding RNA, 253 nt
Filed under: uncultured Anaerolineales bacterium
Lineage: Bacteria; Bacillati; Chloroflexota; Anaerolineae; Anaerolineales
Description: contains 16S-23S intergenic spacer region
Rfam family: Bacterial small subunit ribosomal RNA
Source: RNAcentral
UACGUAGGUGGCAAGCGUUAUCCGGAUUUACUGGGCGUAAAGCGCGUGCAGGUGGCUGAGAAAGUUGGGUGUUAAAGCUUCCGGCUCAACCGGGAGUUGUCGCUCAAAACUAGCAGACUAGAGGAUGGUAGAGGGAGGUGGAAUUCCGGGUGUAGUGGUGAAAUGCGUAGAUAUCCGGAGGAACACCAGUGGCGAAGGCGGCCUCCUGGCCCAUUCCUGACACUCAAACGCGAAAGCUAGGGUAGCAAACGGG